RNAcentral lists this ribosomal RNA (495 nucleotides) under Triticum aestivum (bread wheat). RNAcentral describes it as "partial small subunit ribosomal RNA". Lineage: Eukaryota; Viridiplantae; Streptophyta; Magnoliopsida; Poales; Poaceae. The record is from RNAcentral.
AUGCACAUUGCAAACGAGAUCAUCCUGCGUCUCGACAUCGCCCAGGAGAGCAAGCAAUUGUCGCACGGCGAGAUCCAGCUGCGGAAACAGCUCAAGCUACGCAUCCUCGGCCUCGCAGCGAUCAACAGAGCUCGGAAGCGGCAAGCGUGGCGCGUCACCUGGCUCCGCGCGGGCGAUGCCAAGAUGGCAUUUUUUCAGGCAAAGAUCAACUCCAGGCGUCAGAAGAACUUCAUCCAUGCCCUCUAUGCCCGUGACUCCAUUGCCACCUCCCACGGCGACAAGGAACGGAUCAUACAUGAGCACUUCAAGUCCACGCUGGGGACGAUGACGCCUCGUAAUUGCACCAUUGAUUGGGACUCCAUCCACUUGUCGACCCUGCCCGCGGCCGGCCUCGAUAACCCAUUCACCGAGGAGGAGGUUUGGGCGGCGAUCUACAAAUUGUUGGGGAACGCAGUAAUUUCAAAAAUUUGCCUACGAUCACGAAGAUCUAUCUAG